Molecule: ribosomal RNA, 1466 nt
Filed under: Actinomyces oris
Lineage: Bacteria; Bacillati; Actinomycetota; Actinomycetes; Actinomycetales; Actinomycetaceae
Description: bacterial SSU rRNA
Rfam family: Bacterial small subunit ribosomal RNA
Source: RNAcentral
UAGAGUUUGAUCAUGGCUCAGGACGAACGCUGGCGGCGUGCUUAACACAUGCAAGUCGAACGGUGAAGGGGCCUGCUUUUGUGGGUCCUGGAUGAGUGGCGAACGGGUGAGUAACACGUGAGUAACCUGCCCCCUUCUUCUGGAUAACCGCAUGAAAGUGUGGCUAAUACGGGAUAUUCUGUGCCUGCUGCAUGGUGGGUGUGGGAAAGAUUGCGCCCUUUUUGGGUGUUUUUGGUGGGGGAUGGGCUCGCGGCCUAUCAGCUUGUUGGUGGGGUGAUGGCCUACCAAGGCGGUGACGGGUAGCCGGCCUGAGAGGGUGGACGGUCACACUGGGACUGAGACACGGCCCAGACUCCUACGGGAGGCAGCAGUGGGGAAUAUUGCACAAUGGGCGCAAGCCUGAUGCAGCGACGCCGCGUGAGGGAUGGAGGCCUUCGGGUUGUGAACCUCUUUCGCCAGUGAAGCAGGCCUGCUCCUUGGUGGGUGGGUUGACGGUAGCUGGAUAAGAAGCGCCGGCUAACUACGUGCCAGCAGCCGCGGUAAUACGUAGGGCGCGAGCGUUGUCCGGAAUUAUUGGGCGUAAAGAGCUCGUAGGCGGCUGGUCGCGUCUGUCGUGAAAUCCUCUGGCUUAACUGGGGGCUUGCGGUGGGUACGGGCCGGCUUGAGUGCGGUAGGGGAGGCUGGAACUCCUGGUGUAGCGGUGGAAUGCGCAGAUAUCAGGAAGAACACCGGUGGCGAAGGCGGGUCUCUGGGCCGUUACUGACGCUGAGGAGCGAAAGCGUGGGGAGCGAACAGGAUUAGAUACCCUGGUAGUCCACGCCGUAAACGUUGGGCACUAGGUGUGGGGGGCCUUUUCCGGGUUUUCCGCGCCGUAGCUAACGCAUUAAGUGCCCCGCCUGGGGAAUACGGCCGCAAGGCUAAAACUCAAAGGAAUUGACGGGGGCCCGCACAAGCGGCGGAGCAUGCGGAUUAAUUCGAUGCAACGCGAAGAACCUUACCAAGGCUUGACAUGUGCCGGUCGGCUACCGGAGACGGGGUUUCCUCCUUGUGGGGCCGGUUCACAGGUGGUGCAUGGUUGUCGUCAGCUCGUGUCGUGAGAUGUUGGGUUAAGUCCCGCAACGAGCGCAACCCUUGUCUCGUGUUGCCAGCACGUUGUGGUGGGGACUCGCGGGAGACUGCCGGGGUCAACUCGGAGGAAGGUGGGGAUGACGUCAAAUCAUCAUGCCCCUUAUGUCUUGGGCUUCACGCAUGCUACAAUGGCCGGUACAGAGGGCUGCGAUACUGUGAGGUGGAGCGAAUCCCUUAAAGCCGGUCUCAGUUCGGAUCGGUGUCUGCAACUCGACACCGUGAAGUUGGAGUCGCUAGUAAUCGCAGAUCAGCAACGCUGCGGUGAAUACGUUCUCGGGCCUUGUACACACCGCCCGUCACGUCAUGAAAGUCGGCACUCCCAAGCCCGUGGCCUAUGG